This 506-nucleotide ribosomal RNA is filed under the name uncultured bacterium. Its description in RNAcentral is "partial 16S ribosomal RNA". It matches the Rfam family "Bacterial small subunit ribosomal RNA", at positions 29 to 523 of the family's 1533-position model. The record is from RNAcentral.
AGUGAACGCUGGCGGUAGGCCUAACACAUGCAAGUCGAACGGCAGCACAGGAGAGCUUGCUCUCUGGGUGGCGAGUGGCGGACGGGUGAGGAAUACAUCGGAAUCUACUCUGUCGUGGGGGAUAACGUAGGGAAACUUACGCUAAUACCGCAUACGACCUACGGGUGAAAGCAGGGGAUCUUCGGACCUUGCGCGAUUGAAUGAGCCGAUGUCGGAUUAGCUAGUUGGCGGGGUGAAGGCCCACCAAGGCGACGAUCCGUAGCUGGUCUGAGAGGAUGAUCAGCCACACUGGAACUGAGACACGGUCCAGACUCCUACGGGAGGCAGCAGUGGGGAAUAUUGGACAAUGGGCGCAAGCCUGAUCCAGCCAUACCGCGUGGGUGAAGAAGGCCUUCGGGUUGUAAAGCCCUUUUGUUGGUAAAGAAAUCCAGCUGGCUAAUACCCGGUUGGGAUGACGGUACCCAAAGAAUAAGCACCGGCUAACUUCGUGCCAGCCGCCGCGGUAA